GAUGAACGCUGGCGGCGUGCCUAAUACAUGCAAGUCGAGCGAACAGACGAGGAGCUGCUCCUCUGACGUUAGCGGCGGACGGGUGAGUAACACGUGGAUAACCUACCUAUAAGACUGGGAUAACUUCGGGAAACCGGAGCUAAUACCGGAUAAUAUAUUGAACCGCAUGGUUCAAUAGUGAAAGACGGUUUUGCUGUCACUUAUAGAUGGAUCCGCGCCGCAUUAGCUAGUUGGUAAGGUAACGGCUUACCAAGGCAACGAUGCGUAGCCGACCUGAGAGGGUGAUCGGCCACACUGGAACUGAGACACGGUCCAGACUCCUACGGGAGGCAGCAGUAGGGAAUCUUCCGCAAUGGGCGAAAGCUUGACGGAGCAACGCCGCGUGAGUGAUGAAGGUCUUCGGAUCGUAAAACUCUGUUAUUAGGGAAGAACAAAUGUGUAAGUAACUAUGCACGUCUUGACGGUACCUAAUCAGAAAGCCACGGCUAACUACGUG
RNAcentral lists this ribosomal RNA (496 nucleotides) under uncultured bacterium. Its description in RNAcentral is "partial 16S ribosomal RNA". It matches the Rfam family "Bacterial small subunit ribosomal RNA", at positions 28 to 507 of the family's 1533-position model. The record is from RNAcentral.